UGGGGAAUAUUGGACAAUGGGGGGAACCCUGAUCCAGCAAUGCCGCGUGUGUGAAGAAGGCCUGAGGGUUGUAAAGCACUUUCAGUGGGGAGGAGGGUUGACAGGUUAAGAGCUAGUUGACUGGACGUUACCUACAGAAGAAGCACCGGCUAACUCCGUGCCAGCAGCCGCGGUAAUACGGAGGGUGCGAGCGUUAAUCGGAAUUACUGGGCGUAAAGGGUGCGUAGGUUGUUGAUUAAGUUAUCUGUGAAAUUCCUGGGCUUAACCUGGGCGUGUCAGAUGAGACUGAUUGACUCGAGUAUGGGAGAGGGUAGUGGAAUUUCCGGUGUAGCGGUGAAAUGCGUAGAGAUCGGAAGGAACACCAGUGGCGAAGGCGGCUACCUGGCCUAAUACUGACACUGAGGCACGAAAGCGUGGGGAGCAAACAGGAUUAGAUACCCUGGUAGUCCACGCUGUAAACGAUGUCAACUAGCUGUUGGUCAUAUUGAUAUGAUUAGUGG
RNAcentral lists this ribosomal RNA (500 nucleotides) under uncultured bacterium. RNAcentral's name for it is "bacterial SSU rRNA". It matches the Rfam family "Bacterial small subunit ribosomal RNA", at positions 355 to 846 of the family's 1533-position model. The record is from RNAcentral.